UAAUACGGAGGGUGCAAGCGUUGUUCGGAAUUAUUGGGCGUAAAGGGCGCGUAGGCGGUAAUGUAAGUCAGAUGUGAAAUACUCCGGCUCAACCAGAGAACAGCAUCUGAAACUGCAUAACUAGAGUACAGAAGAGGGAAACGGAAUUCCCGGUGUAGAGGUGAAAUUCGUAGAUAUCGGGAGGAACACCAGUGGCGAAGGCGGUUUCCUGGUCUGAUACUGACGCUGAGGCGCGAAAGCGUGGGGAGCAAACAGGAUUAGAUACCCUGGUAGUCCACGCUGUAAACGGUGAACACUAGGUGUGGGAGGUGUAAUACCUUCCGUGCCGUAGCUAACGCGUUAAGUGUUCCGCCUGGGAAGUACGGCCGCAAGGUUGAAACUUAAAUGAAUUGACGG
Molecule: ribosomal RNA, 396 nt
Filed under: uncultured bacterium
Lineage: Bacteria
Description: bacterial SSU rRNA
Rfam family: Bacterial small subunit ribosomal RNA
Source: RNAcentral